AGUAAGAGAAGAUCUUGAAACUUAAGAUUUUUGGCGGUUUUUUAGGCUAGUUAGAGGAAUCUGCUCUUUAAUGGAUGGUCCUCCGUUGAUUUUACUUCUUUUUUAAAUAUCGCCGUCGACGACAGGUCAAGGUUUAGUUUAUGGAGAAGGUUGAAAGUGGAUUUAAAUGUUGAUGGUGUUAAUUUGAGCUCUAAGAAAUGU
RNAcentral lists this ribosomal RNA (201 nucleotides) under Charinus sp. LP 9054. RNAcentral's name for it is "partial small subunit ribosomal RNA". The record is from RNAcentral. Lineage: Eukaryota; Metazoa; Arthropoda; Arachnida; Amblypygi; Charinidae.